UACGAAGGGGGCUAGCGUUGCUCGGAAUCACUGGGCGUAAAGGGUGCGUAGGCGGGUCUUAAGUCAGGGGUGAAAUCCUGGAGCUCAACUCCAGAACUGCCUUUGAUACUGAAGAUCUUGAGUCCGGAAGAGGUGAGUGGAACUCCUAGUGUAGAGGUGGAAUUCGUAGAUAUUAGGAAGAACACCAGUGGCGAAGGCGGCUCACUGGUCCGGUACUGACGCUGAGGUGCGAAAAGCGUGGGGGAGCAAAACAGGG
Molecule: ribosomal RNA, 256 nt
Filed under: uncultured bacterium
Lineage: Bacteria
Description: partial 16S ribosomal RNA
Rfam family: Bacterial small subunit ribosomal RNA
Source: RNAcentral